AGAAAGGCAGCCUCUGAUAGGGAUGGACCAGAGUCUGCUAACGGGAGAUAUCCCGGGUUUCAUUGGGGGAGGCACCUUCUGGUUUCGCACAGGGGACGAAUUGAGGCCUCCCGGGGCGAGAGGGACAGCAAUCCGGGGUCUGAGCGGAGCUAUUCUAGGGUCGGUUGGAAGAGGCAAGCUGAAAUUCUUAGAAGGCCUAGUUGGGCCCGAGAGGACUGGAGAGAAGUCAGGAAUCCGCUGGAAAGAGGAAAACAUGUGAAUAUACCUGAAGGUGAUACCUGCAAGUUCCUACCCUUAGGAUCUAGUGUCCUACCUAAUGAGUGCAUCGAGGCAAUACGGUAAACGAGAGUACAAGAGACAGAAGGCCAAGGAUGCAGUCCAAGAAAGUUCUAAAAAUAUAUCAUCAGGUCCAACUUGGUAGUUGACCUAGCCAUGGAAAGCCUCAUUGGAUCCUCACUGGGUCAGACCAUAACUGGCAUUCUUAAAAACUCUUCCCAUCAUAAAGUAUCAAGAAGGAAAAUGUAGGAUAUAUACCUACCACUUCAAGAAAGCUCCUGUACCAGCCGACAGCCUAACAGAUUAGCUAGCUGCUUUGAUCGUCAAGCAGACAUACUCAAGCUCAGCACAGCGCAGGAAAAAUCUCUCUAUGAACAUUUUUCACAUUCUGUGUGUGACCUAUUAGCAGGUCAUGAAAUCAGUUCUAAAGAGGAAAAAUGAAGUGAAAUGUGCAGACACUUGUUCAAGUUCAGCUGCUGCACCUGGAAAUGUGAAUAGUGACCAUGUUGAGAGAAAUACUGACUGUAAUCUGCAAACUUCAACCUCAUUUGAGCCACAUUUCAAAAAGAAA
Molecule: long non-coding RNA, 847 nt
Organism: Lynx canadensis (Canada lynx)
Lineage: Eukaryota; Metazoa; Chordata; Mammalia; Carnivora; Felidae
Exons: 3
Source: RefSeq, a predicted model, not a curated record